ACGAAAGCUUGCUUUUGUUGAUGGCGACCGGCGCACGGGUGAGUAACGCGUAUCCAACCUUCCCUAUAGUAGAGGAUAGCCCGGCGAAAGUCGGAUUAAUACUCUAUAUUAUUCAACGAGGACAUCUGAAAUGAAUCAAAGGUUUACCGCUAUAGGAUGGGGAUGCGUCUGAUUAGGUUGUUGGCGGGGUAACGGCCCACCAAGCCCACGAUCAGUAGGGGUUCUGAGAGGAAGGUCCCCCACAUUGGAACUGAGACACGGUCCAAACUCCUACGGGAGGCAGCAGUGAGGAAUAUUGGUCAAUGGACAUAAGUCUGAACCAGCCAAGUAGCGUGCAGGAUGACGGCCCUAUGGGUUGUAAACUGCUUUUAUACAGGGAUAAAGUGAGCCACGUGUGGCUUUUUGUAUGUACUGUAUGAAUAAAGGACCGGCUAAUUCCGUGCCAGCAGCCGCGGUAAUACGGAAGGUCCCGGGCGUUAUCCCGGAUUUUAUUGGGUUUAAAGGGAGCGCAGCUGAUGAUUAAGCGUGACGUGAAAUGUAGCGCUCACGGCUGAACUGCCGUCGCGACUGCUUAUCUUGGAGUGGAGUUCGAUUGUUGCGAAUUCCUUGGUUGUUAACCGGUGGUAAAUGGCGCUCUUGUAAAUAA
Molecule: ribosomal RNA, 646 nt
Filed under: uncultured bacterium
Lineage: Bacteria
Description: bacterial SSU rRNA
Rfam family: Bacterial small subunit ribosomal RNA
Source: RNAcentral